RNAcentral lists this unclassified non-coding RNA (272 nucleotides) under plant metagenome. Its description in RNAcentral is "partial contains small subunit ribosomal RNA, internal transcribed spacer 1, and 5.8S ribosomal RNA". The record is from RNAcentral.
UUUCCGUAGGUGAACCUGCGGAAGGAUCAUUAAUGAGUUGUCAUGGGGUUCGACGCUGGCAGCCAGUUUUUGGAUGCAUGUGCUUGCCCUAACAAUCAUCUUCUUCCAAACACCUGUGCACAUUUUUGAGGGAGUCUUGAGUUGGUUGCCGCUCUUGGGUGAUUUUCUCACAUUCCCUUAAAUCAUUAUACGCUAUUAACUAUGUUGAACGUGCUCUGUGCCGCAAGGCCAUUAAUAUAAUACAACUUUUAACAACGGAUCUCUUGGCUCUC